UUCCUGAGAGAUCCCAUGAUCCAGAGACAAAGGUGGCAGCCUUGGAGCAAGUGGAGAGCCAAGAAAAGGAUCCAGAACUGGAGUGGAAGAACAGCUGCUCUCUAGCCUACUUCACUGACAGCACCAGCCAAGUGAAUAGGUUAGAGAAGAGAGAGACAGAGUCUCACUAUGUUGCCCAGGCUUGUCUUGAACUCCUGCCUUCAAGCAGUCCUCCCACCUCAGCCUCUCAAAGUGCUGGCAUUACAGCUGAAGCUAUGCCAUCUUUUAUGUCUGAUGAGGCAGUUUCAUCUGAUUUGAAGAUGAUGAAGAAAAUUUCUUUGCAAGGUUGCUUAUUGAAUAUUACUGGGAAAACAGGAAAAUUAGGAGGAAUGUUCUGGAGUGAUUUAUCUUUUUCAUCA
Molecule: long non-coding RNA, 398 nt
Filed under: Pongo abelii (Sumatran orangutan)
Lineage: Eukaryota; Metazoa; Chordata; Mammalia; Primates; Hominidae
Description: lincRNA
Source: RNAcentral